GGCUAGCUCAACUGGUAGAGUUUUGAAUUAACAUUGCCAGGGUUAGGGGUUCAAUUCCCACUGGGGACACCCA
Molecule: non-coding RNA, 73 nt
Organism: Merluccius polli (Benguela hake)
Lineage: Eukaryota; Metazoa; Chordata; Actinopteri; Gadiformes; Merlucciidae
Source: the annotation of a GenBank genome assembly